This 30-nucleotide ribosomal RNA is filed under the name Fusarium oxysporum. Its description in RNAcentral is "partial 18S ribosomal RNA". The record is from RNAcentral. RNAcentral also lists the same sequence under 5 other names. Lineage: Eukaryota; Fungi; Ascomycota; Sordariomycetes; Hypocreales; Nectriaceae.
CCGUAGGGUGAACCUGCGGAGGGAUCAUUA